AGCCGCGGUAAUUCCAGCUCCAAUAGCGUAUACUAAAGUUGUUGCGGUUAAAAAGCUCGUAGUUGGAUCUUGGAAUGUGUUCAAGCGGGUCAGCUUCUGGCUGUGCGCCGCUUGACGUGUUCUUCUAUUUGGUUUUGGUGCGGUGCGCUUAACUGCGUGUCGCUCCCGGCCGAAACGUUUACCUUGAAAAAAUUAGAGUGUUCAAAGCAGACCUGUUUGAGUCUGAAUAUUCGUGCAUGGAAUAAUGAAAUAUGAAUUCGGUUCUAUUUUGUUGGUUUUCGGAACUCGAGUUAAUGUUCAAGAGGGACAGACGGGGGCAUUCGUACUCUGCCGUUAGAGGUGAAAUUCUUGGAUCGGCGGAAGACGCGCAACUGCGAAAGCAUUUGCCAAGAAUGUUUUCUUUAAUCAAGAACGAUAGUCGGAGGUUCGAAGACGAUCAGAUACCGUCCUAGUUUCGACUGUAAACUAUGCCAGCUAACGAUCAGACAGAGUUCUCUACGACUUGCCUGGCAGUUUCCGGGAAACCAAAGCGUUUGGGUUCCGGGGGAAGUAUGGUUGCAAAGCUGAAACUUAAAGGAAUUGACGGAAGGGCACCACCAGGAGUGGAGCCUGCGGCUUAAUUUGACUCAACACGGGGAAACUCACCCGGCCCGGACACAGUGAGGAUUGACAGAUUGAGAGUUCUUUCUUGAUUCUGUGGGUGGUGGUGCAUGGCCGUUCUUAGUUGGUGGAGCGAUUUGUCUGGUUAAUUCCGAUAACGAACGAGACUCUGGCAUGUUAAAUAGUCGCGGAAGUGCGUAUGCACUUGCCGAAUUGACUUCUUAGAGGGACUAGUGAUUUUAAUUCACACGAGAUUGAGCAAUAACAGGUCUGUGAUGC
Molecule: ribosomal RNA, 879 nt
Filed under: uncultured eukaryote
Lineage: Eukaryota
Description: SSU rRNA
Rfam family: Eukaryotic small subunit ribosomal RNA
Source: RNAcentral